This is a long non-coding RNA of Ziziphus jujuba (common jujube), 838 nucleotides long. RefSeq lists it as uncharacterized. The record is from RefSeq and is a predicted model, not a curated record. The transcript is spliced from 3 exons. Lineage: Eukaryota; Viridiplantae; Streptophyta; Magnoliopsida; Rosales; Rhamnaceae.
UUAAUUUUUCUCUUCUCUUGUGCUUAAACAAAAGUAGCUACACUUGCUUCUUUCAUUUAAAGCCUGUUAUGUAUUAUAUGAUGCAAUAUUAAUCAAUACCGUGCAGAUCCAUUCUUUAUCCCUCUGGCAAACACUAAUGUGCACCGGUUAACUCGUGUAAGGGGUUUCAUUUCCAAGUUCUAUCUAAUGCGGUCAUAGUAGCUGACUCAAUAUAAUGCCAAGCUUCCAGAAUAUUCUUCAGCUUCCUAUUGUUUAGGAUCAGAACUGUCUGACAAGAUGCUACAUAUAUUUAGAUCGGCAAAUUAGUGACCUUGCUAUUUGUGAUUAUGUGGGAAAUCCAUGGAAUACCUCAAAUCAUAAUUGAAGCCUCUAUGGGAACAAGUAGAAAUCAAACGCAUUUGGAAAUUGAUAACUGUUUAUGCGAAGAUGGAAACAAAAAGCAUUCAAAAAAUGUCUUCAUGUGAAAAACACCAUUGAAGAUUCUUCCUUUGCGUUGGAUAUCUAGCUUGUGCUAGGAGGAGAAAGCUGAUCACAUUACUCUUGCCAUUUGGAAAGCUUGGACAACUUUCUGUAUACUACGUUUGCAAGCAGCCAUUCUUUGUUUGUAUAGCGUUUUGUAGUCUGUUGUGCAGAGUAAAGACUUCUUUUUGUUAAAUCCAGAGUAAAGACCAGCCAUGCAUGUAGAAGGCUCACCUUUUAUAAAAUUAAUUAUGUCCAUUAUUGGAAUGGAAUGUAUAAAGAUAACAAGACCUAUUUUCCUUUGGAUGAAUAAGGAAUUGUCAAAGUUGCCUCCAUUAAAAAUAUUAGGCCAACACUAUGGCGGUUAUAUUGUAUAACA